GAUCCUGGCUCAGAAUCAACGCUGGCGGCGUGCCUAACACAUGCAAGUCGAACGCGAGAGGGGAGUAAUCCCUGAUCGAGUGGCAAACGGGUGAGUAACACGUGGGUGACCUACCUUCGAGUGGGGGAUAACGUCCCGAAAGGGACGCUAAUACCGCAUGACAUCCUGCUUUUGGACAAGCGGACAUUAAAGCUGGGGAUCGCAAGACCUGGCGCUUGAAGAGGGGCCCGCGCCUGAUUAGCUAGUUGGUGAGGUAACGGCUCACCAAGGCGACGAUCAGUAUCCGGCCUGAGAGGGCGGACGGACACACUGGGACUGAGACACGGCCCAGACUCCUACGGGAGGCAGCAGUGGGGAAUUGUUCGCAAUGGGCGCAAGCCUGACGACGCAACGCCGCGUGGAGGACGAAGAUCUUCGGGUCGUAAACUCCUGUCGAGCGGGAAGAAUGCUUUUCGGGUGAAUAAUCCGAAAAAUUGACGGUACCGCUAAAGGAAGCCCCGGCUAACUCCGUGCCAGCAGCCGCGGUAAUACGGGGGGGGCAAGCGUUGUUCGGAAUUACUGGGCGUAAAGGGCUCGUAGGCGGCCAACUAAGUCGGAUGUGAAAUCCCCAGGCUCAACUUGGGAACUGCAUCCGAUACUGGAUGGCUUGAAUUCGGGAGAGGGAUGCAGAAUUCCAGGUGUAGCGGUGAA
RNAcentral lists this ribosomal RNA (690 nucleotides) under uncultured Acidobacteriota bacterium. RNAcentral describes it as "bacterial SSU rRNA". It matches the Rfam family "Bacterial small subunit ribosomal RNA", at positions 15 to 685 of the family's 1533-position model. The record is from RNAcentral. Lineage: Bacteria; Pseudomonadati; Acidobacteriota.